Molecule: long non-coding RNA, 1923 nt
Organism: Astatotilapia calliptera (eastern happy)
Lineage: Eukaryota; Metazoa; Chordata; Actinopteri; Cichliformes; Cichlidae
Source: Ensembl
AGGUGUACACACGGGUGAUCACACACACAAACUACACCCUUUUUGGCUCCUACCUCAAAGCACACUGUGUUCUGUUGAUCUUAUGUGCUGCACAAUAAUGUUUAAUAUUUAGUAUUUACUGUCAUAUUCCCAUAUAUCAUUGUGAUGCUGUUUAUUCUAUUACUCUUGUUCUCUUCUGCUUGUUUUCUUUUUUCUUUCUCAACAGGUGAUCCAGGUGAUCGAUAUAUGCAUUUUUUUCUCUCUUUUUUUUUUCUGCCCGUUCUGUUGGUUUUUGUUUUUUGCCCUUCUCCCCCGUCCCUCUUCUCAGCUGUUUCUCUUUCCCUCUUUCUUUUUCCCCUUCUUUCCCCCAGUCAAGUCUGUCCCGUAUUCAACAAGUGAAAAUAAAAUACACAAUAAAAGGUGAAUCAAAUGGACCAUUAUGGCAAGGCUGGGAUGGUCAAUUUGGUAAAGUAAAUCCGUUGGGCAUCUUUCUUUGCCUUUAGACAAUAAUUCUGAUGGCAAAAGAGCCAAACGGGACAGGCAAAAAAUAAAUAAAUAAUAAAAUAAAUAAUAAUAAAACAGGACUGUAAGUCAUAUUAUGAUAGAAAAUUGGCAUAAACAUUUUUCAAGAUCGAUACUUCAAAUCAUCCCGCAAAUUGUCUGCAGUGCGUUAAACAGUGUUAGUAUGCAAGCCAUGGGAUUUUCUCAGAUACUGAGGAAAACUUGCAUGUUGUUUGCCUUUUCCAAUGGAAAAUGACCUUUGGGAUAAAAUAAGAUUUUAAGCAGGAAGUGAAAGCGAUACUGAGGGAAGUCUGAAGGGACUGACAGUAAAGAAUAUAUUUAAGACUUAAUUACAAGACCAAAUGUGUGACCACAACAAACUAUCAUAUUAUAUAACUUAUAAAGGUAAGAUUAGAUAAGAGUGUGUUAUAAUCUAAUCUCUUAACCUUAAUCUCUUAUUCUGAUUUUAUCUGAGAGCACUGUGACCAUUAAAAAUCUAUUUGUAUUAAUGGCAGAGAAGCUUGAAAAAGCAAUCAUGUCUGUGAUUCUAAUAUUGACAGAUUGAUGGCUUUAUUCACUGCAUACACCACCUCAAAGAAAACAUUCAGUUUCUUUAGGCUACUUCUGGUCGCCCUGUCUCAUUCUUUUAAGCCAACAUCAAAAACCUUAAGCAAACUUUCAGGAAAAAAAAAAAGGUGUAUUUUAAGGAAUAAGAAAUAAGGUAAUCCACUGAAAGCAUGUUGCAGAUAUAUUUUAUCAUGUACAUAAUUAAAAUUACAUACUGAAUAUUGUGAGUUUUCUUUACAUACAUACUGUGAACUGUAACCAUACGAAACUGACAGCCCCUGUGUCGAAAGCACAUCUAAGUGAAACAAAACAUCCAGCAGACUUUAUUGGAUUUGCAGAAGAUAAAGACAAUCAGCUGACUAAAACAAUCUAAGUAACAUACAAAUUAUGUUACAAACAGGUAAAUAAAUAAUGCAAACUAUAACAAAUGAACUCAUACAUUCUGUUUUUGAUGACGCUGACACUUGUACUGUAACCUAAAGUGCACCUUGAUCCACUAUUCCCAUUUAGUAUUUCAAAAGGAAGUUUUGCAGAUGCACAAUGCCAGCUCCUACAGUCACUGCAACACUGGCUGCGUGCCAUGUUUUGAUACGGAUUUCUUUAUGAUUGUUGAGAUCUGAUUAGAUUAGGAAUUGAUGGGGAUUUGCUGUUAAACACAAAUGUCAUGUUUGUUCAGGCUUGUUUCCAUGUGUAAACUCCAGAGUAAAAAAGACAGAUAGUUGCAAUGGUGCUGGACUUGAUCUAACACUGUAUCCAAAAUUUAGGUGUAAAAUAAUUAUGACAGUAUAUUAGGUUAGAGAAAAAUCAUGUUUGAGAUUUUAUAUAUAUAUAUAUAUAUAUAUAUAUAUAUAUAUAUAUAUAUAUAUAUAUAUAUAU